AUGGCUCUGACUGAAGACCAGUAGCUCUCCUAUAGCUGCUGGUUUCAUACAGAUGCCUCAGAGGAUCGUCUUCCUGUGAGAUCUGGUGGCUGUUCUGGACCUCAGCAGAGAAUGGCUAUCUCAUUUGGAAGAGCCAGCC
Molecule: non-coding RNA, 139 nt
Organism: Erinaceus europaeus (western European hedgehog)
Lineage: Eukaryota; Metazoa; Chordata; Mammalia; Eulipotyphla; Erinaceidae
Source: Rfam